GACGAACGCUGGCGGCGUGCUUAACACAUGCAAGUCGAACGGAAAGGCCCUGCUCUUGUGGGGUGCUCGAGUGGCGAACGGGUGAGUAACACGUGAGUAACCUGCCCUUGACUUUGGGAUAACUUCAGGAAACUGCGGCUAAUACCGGAUAGGAGCUCCUGCUGCAUGGUGGGGGUUGGAAAGUUUCGGCGGUUGGGGAUGUACUCGCGGCUUAUCAGCUUGUUGGUGGGGUAGUGGCUUACCAAGGCUUUGACGGGUAGCCGGCCUGAGAGGGUGACCGGCCACAUUGGGACUGAGAUACGGCCCAGACUCCUACGGGAGGCAGCAGUGGGGAAUAUUGCACAAUGGGCGGACGCCUGAUGCAGCAACGCCGCGUGCGGGAUGACGGCCUUCGGGUUGUAAACCGCUUUCGCCUGUGACGAAGCGUGAGUGACGGUAAUGGGUAAAGAAGCACCGGCUAACUACGUG
This 468-nucleotide ribosomal RNA is filed under the name uncultured bacterium. Its description in RNAcentral is "partial 16S ribosomal RNA". It matches the Rfam family "Bacterial small subunit ribosomal RNA", at positions 28 to 507 of the family's 1533-position model. The record is from RNAcentral.